This 131-nucleotide small nuclear RNA is filed under the name Fukomys damarensis (Damara mole-rat). RNAcentral's name for it is "U4 spliceosomal RNA (ENSFDAG00000002660.1)". The stretch from base 1 to 68 matches the Rfam family "U4 spliceosomal RNA". Rfam says of the family: U4 small nuclear RNA (U4 snRNA) is a component of the major U2-dependent spliceosome. The structure of U4 snRNA from yeast and human has been reported. Lineage: Eukaryota; Metazoa; Chordata; Mammalia; Rodentia; Bathyergidae. The record is from RNAcentral.
AGCUUUGCGCAGUGGCAGUAUCGUAGCCAAUGAGGUUUAUCCAAGGCGCGAUUAUUGCUAAUUGAUAUGGGGGUUGCAAUACUGUACUGGUUGUUGGUGACUGCUCAGUGAUGCUUUUGUCACCAUAGUGG